This 1396-nucleotide ribosomal RNA is filed under the name metagenome. Its description in RNAcentral is "bacterial LSU rRNA". It matches the Rfam family "Bacterial large subunit ribosomal RNA", at positions 1548 to 2925 of the family's 2925-position model. The record is from RNAcentral.
AAAAAACUCUGAGACGUGAUACCGAGCCGCUUCAGGCGAAGUCAUUGAUCCUAUGCUGCCUAGAAAAGCCCAGCAGCGAGUUGACAUGGUGCCCGUACCCCAAACCAACACAGGUGGACAGGUAGAGCAUACCAAGGCGAGUGGGAUAACUAUGGUUAAGGAACUCGGCAAAUUGCCUCCGUAACUUCGGGAGAAGGAGGACCCCAGUAGCGUGAUGAGACUUGCUCUCUGAGCGUGAAGGGGUGGCACAAAAUUGAGGGAAGCGACUGUUUACCAAAAACACAGCAGCGUGCUAAGCCGUAAGGCGCUGUAUACGCUGUGACUCCUGCCCGGUGCUGGAAGGUUACGGGGAUGGGUUAGUCCUUCGGGACGAAGCUCUGAACCUAAGCCCCAGUAAACGGCGGCCGUAACUAUAACGGUCCUAAGGUAGCGAAAUUCCUUGUCGGGUAAGUUCCGACCUGCACGAAUGGAGUAGCGACUUCCCUACUGUCUCAACCAUAGACCCAGCGAAAUUGAAGUACGAGUAAAGAUGCUCGUUAGCCGCAGAAGGACGGAAAGACCCCGUGGACCUUUACUAUAACUUGAUGUUGUGUUUUGUCAUAUGUUGUGUAGGAUAGGUGGGAGACUUGGAAGCAUGGACGCUAGUCUGUGUGGAGUCAUCGUUGAAAUACCACCCUGCAUAUGGUGAGGCUCUAACCUAGACCCGUUAUCCGGGUUGGGGACAGCGUCAGGCGGGUAGUUUAACUGGGGCGGUUGCCUCCUAAAGAGUAACGGAGGUGCCCAAAGGUUCCCUCAGCCUGGUUGGCAAUCAGGCGUUGAGUGCAAUGGCAAAAGGGAGCUUGACUGCGAGACCUACAAGUCGAGCAGGAGCGAAAGCUGGGCAUAGUGAUCCGGCGGUUGCGUGUGGAAGCGCCGUCGCUCAACGGAUAAAAGGUACCCCGGGGAUAGCAGGCUAAUCUUGCCCAAGCGUCCAUAGCGACGGCAAGGUUUGGCACCUCGAUGUCGGCUCAUCGCAUCCUGGGGCUGAAGCAGGUCCCAAGGGUUGGGCUGUUCGCCCAUUAAAGCGGUACGCGAGCUGGGUUCAGAACGUCGUGAGACAGUUCGGUCCCCAUCCUCUGCAGCCGGAGGUGAAUUGAGGAAAGCUGUCCCUAGUACGAGAGGACCGGGACGGACGCAGCUCUCGUGUGCCAGUCGUCCUGCCAAGGGCAUGGCUGGUUAGCGACCUGCGGAAAGGAUAACCGCUGAAAGCAUCUAAGCGGGAAGCCUCUUCCAAGAUGAAUUCACCCACAGGGUUAACCUGGUAAGGCCCGUGGUAGACCACCACGUUGAUAGGCCGGAAGUGUAAGCGUGGCAACACGUUCAGCUGACCGGUACUAAUCGGCCGAGGGCUUGAGUC